Molecule: long non-coding RNA, 1255 nt
Filed under: Struthio camelus australis
Lineage: Eukaryota; Metazoa; Chordata; Aves; Struthioniformes; Struthionidae
Description: lncRNA (ENSSCUG00000016753.1)
Source: RNAcentral
UAGAUUCAAUCAGGCUCUUUCCACCCCUUACACAUGCCUGAAAUAAUCUUCCGUUACUGGAGUUUAGCUGACGAUGCUUUUGUGCAAGAAAGGAAGGGCUCCAGUUAGUUUUUCUGUAACUGAAGCCAUAUGGAAUUGAAACUCGUUGAAUCAAUAAUGAAACAUGUCUGUGUUACAGAGCAGUUCUGGUUCCAAGACAUACAAUGAACUGUUUGCAGAGUCACGUUGCUGGUUAAAACCACAUUUUAAAAAAAUUGGCAAAUAAUUUGAGAAAUCAGCUCCUUACGAGGAUUUGGUCUAGCUGAUUCCUUAAGAAAGUUUAAAAAAAAAAAAAAAUCAGCCUCAAGUUCUUUGCUGGCUCCUUUUGACAGUACAUUUAACAAAUAAGCUGAGGUAAAUGUUUGCCAGCCAUUUAGUCAAGCUGCUUAAAAACAUCUCAAUGAUAUAGAGUCAAAAUAUAUUUGACCUCCUAUUUUCCCAUGCGUCCUUCCCAACAUGUUGUGUCACUGAGAAGCAUAUGAGUUGCUAAGGCAGACUGAGCUGCCUUUUGAGGAGCUACUGCAAUUAAUCCAGCCAGAAAGCCAUGAAUGAAGGAAUAUUUUCAUGACACAUCAAUGUUUCCCUAUUUGGAAAGGACUCGAUAAAUGCCUAACUGAACUUACACAGCAAGUAAACCACAUUUGGAAAAAAAGAGUGUGUGGCCUCAAGACGAGAGCAGUAAAUAGCUUUCCUGUUCUGCCUGCUGGGUAAGUAACCUACCUGCUCAAGAGUAGUAUUUAUUUUAUUUAGGUGUUUGGCAUGAAGGAGGAGGCAGGAGGAAGUUAGAGGUCUUUCAAGUGACUGGAAGUUUCUUCAGUUCCAGUUAGCACCUUCCACAGAUGCCACCUGAAGUCCAUCUAUAUUACAAUUUGAGGCAUGAGAUGUGCUCCAACAUGUGCUGAUGGGAACAGUCCAAGAAGACUGGCUACAGAAGCUCUCUGAGGAAUACAAAAGGCUACCCAGCUGCCCUGAUCCUCUGUGACAAGCUCUGGAAGUGCCAGGAUCCUUCUUUUCGCCCUAGUCCUCCCCCCAGUUUCAGGCCUGCCCAUGCUCUCCAACGUGGUGAACUCCUCACUCACUCGUGGACCAUCUUGCUUGCAGCACGGCAUGCUGCUCCACAGCAUCGCUGCCACGGCAGGUUGGUGCGAGAGAGCUAUAGCUCCUCUAUGAAGUUAGCUUCCGAGUUGCCUCCCUUAACAUUAUCCAAGACUCACAG